GAGUUAAAAGGUGUUCCCUUCCCACACCGCCCCAGCAAAAUGCAUUUUAAAAAAAUACCAGGGAGAUAACUUUGGUUUAAUAUGUGUCUAUAAAAUCUGACUCAACAGGCUUUCUGGUUCAUUUGGAAACUCCCAUACUGCAAUACGGAGAACCUGACCAGGUAAAAAUGGUUUGGAUACUGGAAAAGGUACCUAUAUUUAAACCCACAACCCCACAGAAUCUAGGGGACCCUUUCUGAAAGAAAGAAGGCUGCUGCCCCUCUGCACAAUUUGGGUUCCUUUUCCAGUCUCUUUUUCUGUGGAUCAGAUGCAACUGAACUCUUCAGUCUUUUCCAGCUCAAGGAAAAGAUGCAGCGUAUUUAAAAGUAAAUCAUUUUAUGGGCAGGGGUGCGGUUCAGAAGGAAGUGCAUUUUUUAAAUUCUUAUUAAUUUUAAACAAACAAUUUUAAACACUUGAGAGGAAAAGUUCCAAAGUCCAAACAGACAUAUAAACAAGUCAAAAUGCAAAAAAAAAAAAAAAGCCCCAAAUANAUUACGGCCAUGAUUAGCAAGCUGCUUGGAGAAAGAGAGUUCAUCUUAGCAUUAUCGGUAUGACAAAUUCAAAAGACUGGGAAUCCAAGGCGGGAAAGGGGAAGCAUCCUGCAACCCCAAAGNGUGUUUGGAUUGGAAGCAUGGAUUGAGGUGGACUCAAAAAGUUGGCAUCGGCUGCCCAUCGCUAACUCCAACUCAGUUGCACUAAACGCUUAAUAAUGUAUGCCUAAGAAUGUAAGACGUGCAUGACUGGAUCAGUCCAAGAAGGUUCCAUCCAGCAGUCUGAUGCCCCAGGAGCCAGCCAACUUCACACAGAAGCCCACAGGCAAGACACAAGCACAGCUUGCCCUGCCCACAUUCCCACUGCAGUUCACCAUCACCACGGAAGACAAGCUGACCUUUUCCAGAAAGCUAAAAGGCGCAUCACUGAGAUAAUUUCUUACCUGUUCCGCUCUCUGUUCUUCUUCCCCACAGGCCACGUUGCUUGCCACAGGAAGAAAAGGUUACGUCUCCCGGACCCCUUCCAAGCCAGCUAUCGGACCUGUACNGCAAGACAGACACACUCAGUUAUGGUAUCGCUGGAGCAGCUGACAGAGCCUUACCUGGAACGAGGUGUUCUGCCACUGAAUUGGGAAGUGAACAACACCUCUCCUGUUAUAACCCUGGAAGAGCCCUGAGGUCAUCUGGAGGUUCCACGUAAUACAGAAUGCCAUCUUAUGACAGCUCACUGCGGGACCUUCUUAGUGGUAGCACCUUCCCUUUGGAAUGCCCUCCUUUCUGCUGUACACGAGGUACCUAUUAAAGACCUAUAUUUUUACACAGGCAUUUCCUGUGGGAAUAUUUGUUUCUCCCCCCCGACCCUCUAAGUUUUUAAUGUGUUUUAACUACUGUUUUUACUCUUGUUUUUAACUCUUGUUUUUAAGGCUCCGUAAAUCACUUUGAAAUUGGUUCAAUGGAAGGUGGCAUAAAAAUAUCUUAAAUAAAUAAGUGAAUGAGUAAUUAAACA
Molecule: long non-coding RNA, 1536 nt
Filed under: Salvator merianae (Argentine black and white tegu)
Lineage: Eukaryota; Metazoa; Chordata; Lepidosauria; Squamata; Teiidae
Description: lncRNA (ENSSMRG00000002131.1)
Source: RNAcentral